RNA transcript from Tribolium castaneum (red flour beetle), 1297 nucleotides. RefSeq lists it as uncharacterized. The record is from RefSeq and is a predicted model, not a curated record. Lineage: Eukaryota; Metazoa; Arthropoda; Insecta; Coleoptera; Tenebrionidae. The transcript has 4 exons.
ACAAUUUCGGGCCUGAUAUCCAGCAUUAAAAGCCUACAUAAACACCAGUCCAAGGCUCCGGAAGUCGCCCACAGCUUAGUUUGGUUUGCCACAGACAGGCCGAAAGGCCUAAAGGUAGGCCAGUAAAAUCGAUUGUUUGUGACAUUGUCAAAAUUCCCGUUCUUAAAAAUGCCCGGUUGUGGAAAAAACGUCCAAAACCAGUUCGAAGCAUUGACAAAACUCGCCAAUUCAUACCAAAAAAUCACACUCGAACAGAUCAACAAGUGGCUGACUGAUGCCAAACUGAUGAGUGAAAAAAUCAAGCCGGAAGACACCAAAUCGUGCUUCGAUAAGUUCAAGUCUGAAACCAUCGAUUUUGCAACUUUUCAUAAAUUUUUGCACGAAUUAUCGGAACGCAAAGGAAUUCCGAUAAGUGAAUUAGAGGAGAAGCUUGCGCCAUGUAUGUGAGCGAUGACACUGCAUGCUAUAAUUUAAUUGUGGACGUUUUAAUAAGGAUGUGUGCCUUUAACAGAAUAACGGAUGCACUGAAAAGUGCUUGCAAGACUAGUGAGAGCACUUGAAGUAUUUAAUGUUAAAAAUAAUCUAAUCAGCUUGAUUACACGAACAUUGUUUGUGAUCUUAAGCCAAAUGAAUUGUUACUGAAAACACAACUGGCAAUAUUUACCUGAAAUGCACAAAAUAUUUUUUUUUGUCUUUAAUGCGAGCUUCUUCACUGUACAGCAAAACCCAUUCUUUAUUGCAGAUUGUAGUUCUGAUAGAACAGUUUAGUUUUGGUGGAGUACAAUUGCGGGCAACUGUUUAUAUAAAGACACAGAAAUUAGUGAGCAGAUUACAGUUAGUGGCCCAUCAUUCUGGCCUUUGUGUCGAGCUAAUUGGCCACAAGUACAAAUACGGUCGAAAUGAAAUGUAAGAUUCCCAUUUGAAUCCAUGUUAAAAUCGGCUUGAAACACAAGCUUGAAGCUCUCUUCAAUAAAAUAUUCCUGAAAUGAGGUUUAUGGGUAAGAGCGUACGUGAGGUCGCGCCUCCAGUGGUAUCAUGGAGUACUUGGCAAUAAUGGACGUCACGCUUCUGAAAUAUCGCUACUACAUUUCUACGAAGGGUAUAGAAAGCCCGGAUCAAAUGAACUAAUAAUUUAAUGAUUUUUGCCUCCUUCUGUGUGGCAUAUGCGUUGAAUUUACAAGCGGCGCUGUUCUUUUUGAUUGUACGAAUAUUAAUUUUAGAUAGAGCCGUCAAAGAAUAAAUGGAACGACUCCUUUGAAAGAAGAAUUUAAUAAGCUUUUCGAUCUUGCCCCAUGCA